This 67-nucleotide transfer RNA is filed under the name Peckia collusor. Its description in RNAcentral is "tRNA-Phe". The record is from RNAcentral. Lineage: Eukaryota; Metazoa; Arthropoda; Insecta; Diptera; Sarcophagidae.
UAUUCAAAUAGCUUAUAAAUAGAGUAUGACACUGAAGAUGUUAGGGAGAUAAAUUUAUCUUUGAAUA